GUGCACGCUGGCGGUAGGCCUAACCCAUGCAAGCCGUACGGCAGCACAGUAAGAGCUUGCUCUUACGGGCGGCGAGUGGCGGACGGGUGAGGAAUACAUCGGAAUCUACUUUUUCGUGGGGGAUAACGUAGGGAAACUUACGCUAAUACCGCAUACGACCUACGGGUGAAAGCAGGGGUUCUUCCGACCUUGCGCGAGUGAAUGAGCCGAUGUCGGAUUAGCUUGUUGGCGGGGUAAAGGCCCACCAAGGCGCCGAUCCGUAGCUGGUCUGAGAGGAUGAUCAGCCACACUGGAACUGAAACACGGUCCAGACUCCUACGGGAGGCAGCAGUGGGGAAUAUUGGACGAUGGGCGCAAGCCUGAUCAAGCCAUACCGCGUGGGUGAAGAAGGCCUUCGGGUUAUAAAGCCCUUUUGUUGGGAAAGAAAAGCAGCAGGUUAAUACCCCGCUGUUCUGACGGUACCCAAAGAAUAAGCACCGGCUAACUUCGUG
RNAcentral lists this ribosomal RNA (491 nucleotides) under uncultured bacterium. Its description in RNAcentral is "partial 16S ribosomal RNA". It matches the Rfam family "Bacterial small subunit ribosomal RNA", at positions 29 to 507 of the family's 1533-position model. The record is from RNAcentral.